Ailuropoda melanoleuca (giant panda) is the source of this 63-nucleotide microRNA precursor. Lineage: Eukaryota; Metazoa; Chordata; Mammalia; Carnivora; Ursidae. The record is from Ensembl.
UUAUCAGAAUCUCCAGGGGUACUUAUAAUUUGAAAAAGUCCCCCAGGUGUGAUUCUGAUUUGC